UUAAGUUUCUCAAAUUACCAUUAAUUUUAUUAGAAGCUAAUGUUUAAUUCAUAGCUAUGACUAUUAAAAUCCAAAAAUAUCUUGAUUUAAGAUAUAUCACUGCAUGCUUACUAAUCAGUGCCUCUGUUUAAAUCAUUUGGUACUUGAAACACAUACACAGGAGUUUCAUAGCUAGGCCAGCCCCUCAAACGUGAUGUAACUGAGCUACGUUUAUUAUGUUAGCUGAGCUCUAGGCCUAGAAAGAAGUGAGAAGACUCCAUUUCCUAGGGUUAAGGCUCAUCCUUCCCCAAGCCAGAUUCUUCUUAUAAACCUUUUCAGUUGCAGCCUUCCAGUGUACCCAUGGCACCCUUCUCCCAGGCCUCCAGGCCACCCUCUUCCCAGCGAGGUGGCGCUUCAGGGGCUUCCAAUGUAGUCUGUGCCCCAGCGCUCCCAUCCCUUCCUCACCCUUGCCCUCCUGUCUCAUUCCGCUGGUGUGCACUGGAUCGCAUCUAGAUGUGAAGAGGAAAACAAACGGUGGAACUAAUUCACCUUAAUCUUCUGCCAGCCACUGAGCUCGCCCUGGGGAUACAGAGGGCAGGUGGGCUCGCCCGGAGAGACAAGGAGCCACACCUCACCGCUGUGACAGAUGCUGUGCUGAGUGGCACGCGGGAGGAGUCACGCACUGCUGAGUGGACUUGCUGUACUGCUGGCCCCUGUGCAGAGUGUGUGAGGAGAGAUGCCGUUAGAGGCUUUCUCUUGAUGUAUUUGACCUUCAUGUUGAAGCAUGAAUAGUUUGUAAAAACAGAAAAUCUCAUCAUAUAAAAAUUUUACAUUAAAUCUAA
Myotis brandtii (Brandt's bat) is the source of this 821-nucleotide long non-coding RNA. RefSeq lists it as uncharacterized. The transcript has 2 exons. The record is from RefSeq and is a predicted model, not a curated record. Lineage: Eukaryota; Metazoa; Chordata; Mammalia; Chiroptera; Vespertilionidae.